Molecule: ribosomal RNA, 253 nt
Filed under: uncultured bacterium
Lineage: Bacteria
Description: partial 16S ribosomal RNA
Rfam family: Bacterial small subunit ribosomal RNA
Source: RNAcentral
GACGGGGGAUGCAAGCGUUAUCCGGAAUCACUGGGCGUAAAGCGUCUGUAGGUGGUGAUGCAAGUCACUGGUGCAAAACUCUGGCUCAACCGGAGGAAAGCCAGUGAAACUGCAUGACUAGAGUGUGGGAGAGGUAGAAGGAAUUCCCUGAGUAGCGGUGAAAUGCGUAGAUACAGGGAAGAACACCGGAGGCGAAAGCGCGCAACUGGAACACAACUGACGCUGAGGGACGAAAGCUAGGGGAGCGAAUGGG